Molecule: ribosomal RNA, 433 nt
Filed under: uncultured bacterium
Lineage: Bacteria
Description: partial 16S ribosomal RNA
Rfam family: Bacterial small subunit ribosomal RNA
Source: RNAcentral
AACGAACGCUGGCGGCAUGCCUAACACAUGCAAGUCGAACGAGACCUUCGGGUCUAGUGGCGCACGGGUGCGUAACGCGUGGGAACCUGCCCUUAGGUUCGGAAUAACUCCCCGAAAGGGGUGCUAAUACCGGAUAAUGUCUUCGGACCAAAGAUUUAUCGCCUUUGGAUGGGCCCGCGUUGGAUUAGCUAGUUGGUAGGGUAAAAGCCUACCAAGGCGACGAUCCAUAGCUGGUCUGAGAGGAUGAUCAGCCACACUGGGACUGAGACACGGCCCAGACUCCUACGGGAGGCAGCAGUGGGGGAUAUUGGACAAUGGGCGAAAGCCUGAUCCAGCAAUGCCGCGUGAGUGAUGAAGGCCUUAGAGUUGUAAAGCUCUUUUACCCGGGAUGAUAAUGACAGUACCGGGUGAAUAAGCUCCGGCUAACUCCGUG